This 502-nucleotide unclassified non-coding RNA is filed under the name uncultured Diversispora. RNAcentral describes it as "SSU rRNA". It matches the Rfam family "Eukaryotic small subunit ribosomal RNA", at positions 591 to 1092 of the family's 1831-position model. The record is from RNAcentral. Lineage: Eukaryota; Fungi; Glomeromycota; Glomeromycetes; Diversisporales; Diversisporaceae.
CCAAUAGCGUAUAUUAAAGUUGUUGCAGUUAAAAAGCUCGUAGUUGAACUUCGGGGUCUACCCAUUGGUCAGGCUUAAUUGUCUGCACUGGUGAGAUGGAUCUCUACCUUCUGAGGAACUUUCAUGCCAUUUAUUUGGUGUGGUUGGAAAUCAGGACUGUUACUUUGAAAAAAUUAGAGUGUUUAAAGCAGACUAUCGUCUGAAUACAUUAGCAUGGAAUAAUGAAAUAGGACGGACUGAUUCUAUUUCGUUGGUUUCUAGGAUCACCGUAAUGAUUAAUAGGGAUAGUUGGGGGCAUUAGUAUUCAAUUGUCAGAGGUGAAAUUCUUGGAUUUAUUGAAGACUAACUACUGCGAAAGCAUUUGCCAAGGAUGUUUUCAUUAAUCAAGAACGAAAGUUAGGGGAUCGAAGACGAUCAGAUACCGUCGUAGUCUUAACCAUAAACUAUGCCGACUAGGGAUCGGAUGAUGUUAAUUUUUUAAUGACUCAUUCGGCGCCUUACG